Molecule: ribosomal RNA, 465 nt
Filed under: uncultured Klebsiella sp.
Lineage: Bacteria; Pseudomonadati; Pseudomonadota; Gammaproteobacteria; Enterobacterales; Enterobacteriaceae
Description: bacterial SSU rRNA
Rfam family: Bacterial small subunit ribosomal RNA
Source: RNAcentral
CCUACGGGGUGCUGCAGUGGGGAAUAUUGCACAAUGGGCGCAAGCCUGAUGCAGCCAUGCCGCGUGUGUGAAGAAGGCCUUCGGGUUGUAAAGCACUUUCAGCGGGGAGGAAGGCGUUAAGGUUAAUAACCUUGGCGAUUGACGUUACCCGCAGAAGAAGCACCAGCUAACUCCGUGCCAGCAGCCGCGGUAAUACGGAGGGUGCAAGCGUUAAUCGGAAUUAAUGGGCGUAAAGCGCACGCAGGCGGUCUGUCAAGUCGGAUGUGAAAUCCCCGGGCUCAACCUGGGAACUGCAUUCGAAACUGGCAGGCUAGAGUCUUGUAGAGGGGGGUAGAAUUCCAGGUGUAGCGGUGAAAUGCGUAGAGAUCUGGAGGAAUACCGGUGGCGAAGGCGGCCCCCUGGACAAAGACUGACGCUCAGGUGCGAAAGCGUGGGGAGCAAACAGGAUUAGAUACCCCUGUAGUC